Molecule: long non-coding RNA, 2513 nt
Filed under: Hordeum vulgare
Lineage: Eukaryota; Viridiplantae; Streptophyta; Magnoliopsida; Poales; Poaceae
Description: long non-coding RNA (HVUL_LNC014856)
Source: RNAcentral
UAGCUUUGAAACAACCUCUUGUGUUGUUGUGCAUAAUUGAGUAGUAGAUAACUAAAGAUAACAAUAAAAAGUAAACAAGCAUGCCAAAACAAAACCCAUGUGUUUCGGAGCUCUAAUCAUGUUAUACUAAAGGGCUAAUGUUUACAUUCUGUUUUGCUGCAUUUUUAGGUUGAUGCUAUGCUUCAGAAAUUAGAGAAAGAAAUUUUUAGGUUGAUGCGGCAAGGCCCCUCUGAUCGUUUGAAGUGGAGAAGAACGUGGCCAUCCGAUCCUCUUCAGAUGCAAAUGCAGUCUAUCAUCAGAAGGUACCACUGUUGACGCUUGGGAAGGUUCAAGUUCUGUCUUGAGUGUGUCGAACUGAAGAAAUAGAGGAUUGGAAACUGUCAGUAAAUCCUGCCUACUAUUGUCUGAAAACGAUUUCAUCUUGCUCCUAAAUUCAAAUCAUAGUAGCAAAUAGCAUAAUUAGGCAAGGCGCGCAAGUGCAACUGUACUGAAUUAGGCAGAAGUGUGAUAUGAGUGGACUAGGCAAGAAUAACUGCAAAUCAUUCAGAAAAUUACAAAAGAAAAGUGGAAGAAUUCUACUGCAAGUGACGUAAAUCAAAAGGAUGGAAUGGAUCCAACAGAAUUGAAAGCAUGCAUCUACCUGGGAGAACAAAAUUUAGAUCACCGUACUUCCUCAACACACAAUCCCUCAGUCUUCUUUCUGAGGUACCACCUGCAUACAAAAAGAAACAGAAGCAUUUCCACUCAGCUGAUGGAACCAACAUAUAAUUUCAUGAAAACACUAGUCCAAAUCAGUAGUACCUAUCAAGAGUAAAAAAAAGCCUAACUGGACUAGACUUGACUUGAGAGAAACUAAGAGCAGGCAAAAAUAUCAGUUACUAUACUACCACUUAGCAAUUGAGAGACCAAACUUGCCGAGAAUCAGCUAAAACACGAAGCAGUUUUUCCAGUUGGUAUGGUGAUGUGCUGCUGCACCAGCCAAGGCGCCAACCACAAGUAGGUAAGCAGGAACAGGGAGCUCAACAAGCAAGAAAAUAAGCCACAACCAGACCAAGAAUCCACACAGAAACACUAAAAGUCACAGUAGCACUAUCAUCAUUAUUUUCUGAUGGGCGCCACAGCCUGCAUGUAUUUGGCUAUCUGCACAUGAUAAACCAUCUAAACUACAUCAAGAUUCAUGUUGUUGAUGUUGUUUGUUUUGUUGCACUGUAAUCGCAACUAACACUGGAGUAUUUGAAUUAAUUAUUUGAUUUUGGUUGGUAGCAUAAUCUCGAAUAUAGUAGUUAAAGUCCACAAACAUGUUCUGAUACACAACAAACUUCUAAAAGGAAAAUAAACCUUUUUUAAGCGUGAAAAGAAACAAUUAAAGUUAAAGAGAACUAGGAGAAACGCGGUGAGAUGUUUGCAUAUGACAUAUUUCACAAAAGUUAUGCAGAUUCAAAGACUAAUCUCCCAUACUAGAUCCACCAAAUUCACUUUUUACUUUUGAGUAGGAAGAAAUAAAACUGUGUCGUGCCUAGUUUUGCCUAACGCAACAUCAACCAUUCGAUUCAGAGCCAAAAUAACAACUAGGUCCUUGGCAUUUAUCCUAGAUUUCCAAAUAAUACCUCACUAGUUCCAUUCUAAAUGCUUGAUGACAAACAAACAUGCAUAUCAUUGUCAAAUCAAGGCAGACGAGAUUAAUCCAGGUUAAUAAUAGAUGACCAUGUUACAAGCCAAUAAGAGCCAGAAGCACCCUACUAUUGACCAACCUGUAGUUAACUGGCGAGGAGCAGCACAACCUCAAUCACUGCUAUCUCCAGCCCGAGCUCCAACAUCUGCAGCUAUGGGCUCUUGAGCUCGCAGCGCCUCCACGCCUUGUUCCACCAUCUCCUCAGCACUUUCCUGAGUGUCUGCCCAAUUUAUCAAAAUUAUGCAUAUUCAGAUCAUAGAUAUUCAGGAACUUGUGAGUGAAUAGGAACAUGACAUAGGCAUUACUAUCGGAGAAGACUCGGUAAACUGCUUAUACGAGAAAUGGGCAGAAAAAAACAGAAUGGCCAAUAUGAAAUGAACGGUAGCUUCGUGUUAUAGGACUUCGGAUAUUACCUAGUGUCAAAAAGGCAAAAAGCAUCUUAUAUUUUGAUACUGAGGGAGUACUAGUUUUCUUAGCUAGUUUAAUGGAUUUCUAACUUGAGAAAUGCAUGGGUCUCAGUAGGGCCGAUCAACAAACUAAACUAUAUUGUGUCACCUACAAAAGACGAUUGUUGGAACUAUCUAAAAAGCAUCGUAGCCCUGCCUCUAAUUCUAUCUUCAGAAGAUGAUUCCAAAUCAAAAUAGUUUCUGAGCACAAGCUAUUCUUACUACUUAAAUGGCAACUCCAUUGCGCAAUUAGAGGAGGAAAGGGAGAAGUCGCCGGCGAGGGCAACCAACGGCCGAGUUGGUUGAGCCUGAACACCAUCUCGUCCCUGAGAAUCUCCCUGUACAGGAUAUCAAGUACUCCUUCCACUUCCUCCCCUAACCAAAAUAUGGAAGGA